This 68-nucleotide small RNA is filed under the name Mycolicibacterium smegmatis MC2 155. Its description in RNAcentral is "Mycobacterium smegmatis str. MC2 155 ASdes TB sRNA". It matches the Rfam family "ASdes TB sRNA". The record is from Rfam by way of RNAcentral. Lineage: Bacteria; Bacillati; Actinomycetota; Actinomycetes; Mycobacteriales; Mycobacteriaceae.
AGCUCCACCGGAUCGCACGCACGCGUGACGACCAGGUAGUCGCGCAGCGCGAUGCCGUGGCGGUUCUC